This 251-nucleotide ribosomal RNA is filed under the name uncultured bacterium. RNAcentral's name for it is "partial 16S ribosomal RNA". It matches the Rfam family "Bacterial small subunit ribosomal RNA", at positions 525 to 775 of the family's 1533-position model. The record is from RNAcentral.
ACGGAGGAUGCGAGCGUUAUCCGGAUUUAUUGGGUUUAAAGGGUGCGUAGGUGGCUUAUUAAGUCAGCGGUGAAAGUUUGUGGCUUAACCAUAAAAUUGCCGUUGAAACUGGUUAGCUUGAGUAUAUUUGAGGUAGGCGGAAUGCGUGGUGUAGCGGUGAAAUGCAUAGAUAUCACGCAGAACUCCGAUUGCGAAGGCAGCUUACUAAACUAUAACUGACACUGAAGCACGAAAGCGUGGGGAUCAAACAG